RNAcentral lists this ribosomal RNA (503 nucleotides) under uncultured bacterium. RNAcentral's name for it is "partial 16S ribosomal RNA". It matches the Rfam family "Bacterial small subunit ribosomal RNA", at positions 30 to 523 of the family's 1533-position model. The record is from RNAcentral.
AUUGAACGCUGGCGGCAGGCUUAACACAUGCAAGUCGAGCGGGGUGAUGGUGCUUGCACUAUCACUUAGCGGCGGACGGGUGAGUAAUGCUUAGGAAUCUGCCUAUUAGUGGGGGACAACAUCUCGAAAGGGAUGCUAAUACCGCAUACGUCCUACGGGAGAAAGCAGGGGAUCACUUGUGAUCUUGCGCUAAUAGAUGAGCCUAAGUCGGAUUAGCUAGGUGGUGGGGUAAAGGCCUACCAAGGCGACGAUCUGUAGCGGGUCUGAGAGGAUGAUCCGCCACACUGGGACUGAGACACGGCCCAGACUCCUACGGGAGGCAGCAGUGGGGAAUAUUGGACAAUGGGGGGAACCCUGAUCCAGCCAUGCCGCGUGUGUGAAGAAGGCCUUAUGGUUGUAAAGCACUUUAAGCGAGGAGGAGGCUCUUUUGGUUAAUACCCAAGAUGAGUGGACGUUACUCGCAGAAUAAGCACCGGCUAACUCUGUGCCAGCAGCCGCGGUAA